RNAcentral lists this ribosomal RNA (1695 nucleotides) under metagenome. RNAcentral describes it as "bacterial LSU rRNA". It matches the Rfam family "Bacterial large subunit ribosomal RNA", at positions 1200 to 2925 of the family's 2925-position model. The record is from RNAcentral.
AUAAGGAAUCUGUUUACAGAUUGGUAGAGGAGCAUUGCAUACGGGAAGAAGCAGUACCGGUAAGGAGCUGUGGACUGUAUGGAAGAGAGAAUGCCGGAAUGAGUAGCGAGAUAGAGGUGGGAAUCCUCUAGGCCGAAUAUCCAAGGUUUCCAGGGUAAAGCUGAUCUGCCCUGGGUAAGUCGGGGCCUAAGGCGAGGACGAGAGUCGUAGCCGAUGGACAACAGGUGGAGAUUCCUGUACUAUGAUAUGACAGAACUGUGGGGACACGUGCAGAAAGCGGAAGCCGGGAAUGGGAUCCCGGUGCAAGCGGGGUACCGGCCAUAUUGGAAAAACCGUGUGGCAAUGGGAAGACGUGAUGCGGAGCGAAAUAAAGUAGUGAAGUCCGUGAGCUGUGCGUCAAGAAAAGCCGCUAUUGUUCAUACCAUACCCGUACCGUAAACCGACACAGGUGGAUGAGGAGAGAAUCCUAAGGCCGGCGGAAGAAGCAUUGUCAAGGAACUCGGCAAAAUGACCCCGUAACUUCGGGAAAAGGGGUGCCUGUGAAAACAGGCCGCAGAGAAUAGGCUCAAGCAACUGUUUAGCAAAAACACAGGUCUAUGCGAAACCGAAAGGUGAGGUAUAUGGGCUGACGCCUGCCCGGUGCUGGAAGGUUAAGAGGAGAGGUUAGCGCAAGCGAAGCUUUGAAUUUAAGCCCCAGUAAACGGCGGCCGUAACGAUAACGGUCCUAAGGUAGCGAAAUUCCUUGUCGGGUAAGUUCCGACCCGCACGAAAGGCGUAAUGAUUUGAGCGCUGUCUCGACAAUGCAUCCGGUGAAUUUGAAGUACCAGUGAAGAUGCUGGUUACCUGCGCCAGGACGGAAAGACCCCAUGGAGCUUUACUCCAGUUUGGUACUGGGAUCCGGUACUGCAUGUACAGGAUAGGUGGGAGGCUAAGAAGCGGUAACGCCAGUUGCCGCAGAGCCGCUGUUGGGAUACCACCCUUGCAGUAUUGGGUUUCUAACCAGCCGCCGUGAACCGGCGGUGGGACAAUGCCAGACGGGGAGUUUGACUGGGGCGGUCGCCUCCGAAAGGGUAUCGGAGGCGCCCAAAGGUUCCCUCAGAAUGGACGGAAACCAUUCGAAGAGUGCAAAGGCAGAAGGGAGCUUGACUGCGACACCGACGGGUGGAGCAGGUACGAAAGUAGGGCUUAGUGAUCCGGUGGUAUUAAGUGGGAAUGCCAUCGCUCAACGGAUAAAAGCUACCCUGGGAUAACAGGCUUAUCACUCCCAAGAGUUCACAUCGACGGAGUGGUUUGGCACCUCGAUGUCGGCUCAUCGCAUCCUGGGGCUGUAGUAGGUCCCAAGGGUUGGGCUGUUCGCCCAUUAAAGCGGUACGCGAGCUGGGUUCAGAACGUCGUGAGACAGUUCGGUCCCUAUCCGGCGUGGGCGUAGGAUAUCUGAGAGGAGCUGUCCUUAGUACGAGAGGACCGGGAUGGACGGACCGCUGGUGUACCGGUUAGACUGCCAAGUCUACGGCCGGGUAGCCAAGUCCGGAAGGGAUAAACGCUGAAGGCAUCUAGGCGUGAAGCCCCCCUCGAGAUGAGAUAUCCCAUCCGAAAGGAGUAAACCCCCUUGAAGACGACGAGGUUGAUAGGGCAGGGGUGGAAGCACGGUAAUGUGUGGAGCUGACUGCUACUAAUAGGGUGAGGGCUUGACCU